Molecule: ribosomal RNA, 402 nt
Filed under: Actinomycetes bacterium
Lineage: Bacteria; Bacillati; Actinomycetota; Actinomycetes
Description: Actinobacteria bacterium partial 16S ribosomal RNA
Rfam family: Bacterial small subunit ribosomal RNA
Source: RNAcentral
UGGGGAAUUUUGCACAAUGGGGGCAACCCUGAUGCAGCGACGCCGCGUGAUUUAGAAGGCCUUCGGGUUGUAAAAAUCUUUUGUAUAGGAAGAAAAUGACAGUACUAUACGAAUAAGGUCCGGCUAAUUACGUGCCAGCAGCCGCGGUAAUACGUAAGGACCGAGCGUUGUCCGGAAUCAUUGGGCGUAAAGGGUACGUAGGCGGUUAAAAAAGUUAGAAGUGAAAGGCUAUAGCUCAACUAUAGUAAGCUUUUAAAACUGUUUAACUUGAGAGAUGGAAGGGAAAGUGGAAUUCCUAGUGUAGCGGUGAAAUGCGCAGGUAUUAGGAGGAAUACCGGUGGCGAAGGCGACUUUCUGGCCAUUAUCUGACGCUGAGGUACGAAAGCGGGGGUAGCAAACAGG